ACUGAGGGCGGUAGUGUUU
RNAcentral lists this microRNA (19 nucleotides) under Echinococcus granulosus. Its description in RNAcentral is "egr-miR-10278-5p". Lineage: Eukaryota; Metazoa; Platyhelminthes; Cestoda; Cyclophyllidea; Taeniidae. The record is from miRBase by way of RNAcentral.